Molecule: ribosomal RNA, 927 nt
Filed under: Dictyocoela sp.
Lineage: Eukaryota; Fungi; Microsporidia
Description: SSU rRNA
Rfam family: Microsporidia small subunit ribosomal RNA
Source: RNAcentral
CAGGAGAGUAAGAUGCCAUCCUAUCAGUUAGUAAGUAGGGUAAGGGCCUACUUAGACGAAGACGGGUACGGGGAAUGAGGGUUUGAUUCCGGAGAGGGAGCCUGAGAGAUGGCUACCAGGACCAAGGUCAGCAGCAGGCGCGAAAAUUAUCGAAGCCCGCCUAGGGGCGAUAGUGAGGAGACGUGUAUAACGAAGUACGUGUAAAGAACGUGCUAAUAACUGGAGGUCAAGUCUGGUGCCAGCAUCCGCGGUAAUUCCAGCUCCAGGGGUGUCUAUGAUGAUUGCUGCGAUUAAAAAGUCCGUAGUCAAUCUGACUGACUGGCCUGCAAUGUGAUUGAUUAAAGAACGAGCAGGGUUAGGAAAGCAGAGAAUCAGGAGCGACCGAGGGCUAGAGUAUUGAAUGGCGAGAGGUGAAAUUUGAUGACCCAUUCAGGAGUGACAAAGGCGAAGGCACUAGUCAAGGGCGAAUCCGAUGAUCAAGGACGUAGGCUAGAGUUUCGAAAACGAUUAGAGACCGGAGUAGUUCUAGCAGUAAACUAUGCCGACGCCGUGGUAUCAUUUUGGUAUUGCGGAAGAGAAAUCAAGUAAGGCUUUGGGGAGAGUACGCGCGCAAGCGAUAAAUUUAAAGGAAAUUGACGGAGGAACACCACAAGGAGUGGAGUGUGCGGCUUAAUUUGACUCAACGCGGGACAGCUUACCAGGCCCGAUAAUCGAGCGAGCGUAGUACGCGAUAGGUUAAAGAGUGGUGCAUGGCUGCUAUCGACAGUUGGGGUGACCUUAGGGUUAAUUCCGGCAAGUAGUGAGACCCCUGCAGAUAGUGGACAGGUAUUUUUAAAAUACAGGAAGGAAGGGACAAGAGCAGGUCAGUGAUGCCCUUAGAUGGCCUGGGCUGCACGCGCACUACAGUGGUCAUUAUAAGUAGAAGUU